AUUGAACGCUGGCGGCAUGCCUUACACAUGCAAGUCGAACGGCAGCACGGGAGCAAUCCUGGUGGCGAGUGGCGAACGGGUGAGUAAUAUAUCGGAACGUGCCCAGUCGUGGGGAUAACGUAGCGAAAGCUACGCUAAUACCGCAUACGAUCUAUGGAUGAAAGCGGGGGAUCGCAAGACCUCGCGCGAUUGGAGCGGCCGAUAUCAGAUUAGGUAGUUGGUGAGGUAAAGGCUCACCAAGCCGACGAUCUGUAGCUGGUCUGAGAGGACGACCAGCCACACUGGGACUGAGACACGGCCCAGACUCCUACGGGAGGCAGCAGUGGGGAAUUUUGGACAAUGGGNGCAAGCCUGAUCCAGCAAUGCCGCGUGCAGGAUGAAGGCCUCGGUUGUAAC
RNAcentral lists this ribosomal RNA (396 nucleotides) under uncultured bacterium. Its description in RNAcentral is "bacterial SSU rRNA". It matches the Rfam family "Bacterial small subunit ribosomal RNA", at positions 30 to 429 of the family's 1533-position model. The record is from RNAcentral.